GACGAACGCUGGCGGCGUGCCUAAUACAUGCAAGUUGAGCGAUGAAGCUUGGUGCUUGCCCCAAUUUGAAGAGCAGCGAACGGGUGAGUAACGCGUGGGGAAUCUGCCUUUGAGCGGGGGACAACAUUUGGAAACGAAUGCUAAUACCGCAUAACAACUUUAAACAUAAGUUUUAAGUUUGAAAGAUGCAAUUGCAUCACUCAAAGAUGAUCCCGCGUUGUAUUAGCUAGUUGGUGAGGUAAAGGCUCACCAAGGCGAUGAUACAUAGCCGACCUGAGAGGGUGGUCGGCCACAAUGGGACUGAGACACGGCCCAAACUCCUACGGGAGGGAGCAGUAGGGAAUCGUCGGCAAUGGACGAAAGUCUGACCGAGCAACGCCGCGGGAGGGAAGAAGGGUGUCGGGUCGUAAAACUCUGUUGGUAGAGAAGAACGUUGGUGAGAGUGGAAAGCUCAUCAAGUGACGGUAACUACCCAGAAAGGGACGGCUAACUACGUG
RNAcentral lists this ribosomal RNA (497 nucleotides) under uncultured bacterium. Its description in RNAcentral is "partial 16S ribosomal RNA". It matches the Rfam family "Bacterial small subunit ribosomal RNA", at positions 28 to 507 of the family's 1533-position model. The record is from RNAcentral.